UUCCCAUAUAAAUAGAUUCUGCCCAUUGUCCCAAUUUUCUUUCUUGUAAAGAAAAGGGUAUUUGUUUUUUCCACUGAAAAUCUAAAUCCCCAUUCCAAUGACCACUGUUCCACUCUUUUGAUUGUUUCCUGCAUCUGUUUCACCACAUAUUCCACAUUCCUACCUCUUUUCCAUAGUGCCCCAUCAUCUGCAAAUAAAGAUCUCCCUAUAUUAUGUGUAUUGUAUGUAUUUUCAUAUACAUCAUCAAUCAUUAUUGAAAACAAUAACGGACUAAUCACACUUCCCUGCGGUGUUCCAUUGUCCACCAAAUGGCUGUCCGACACACACCUUCCCACUCUUACUUCUAUAGAGUGCCCCACCAAAAAUUGUUUAAGCCAUCUGAACAUUUUAUCCAAUAUUCCUAAUUUCUUAAUUUUGAUUAAUAGUCCCUCUUUCCACAGUAAAUCAUAGUCUCGCCUCGAAGUAUUACCCGUAAGGAAUCAGAACAUGUAUCUUAAAAUGUUAUUUAUUUUUACUUCAAUGCACUAGUUUAGCUAAGUUAGUUAACAUUAGUUUCUUUCCAUAACAAUAUAUUUUUUAAUCAAGCUAACUUCAUAACCUUCAUGGAUAUUCAUCGAUUGUUCUAUCUGACUCUUUUACAGCAAUUUCUGACUGCAAAAGCAUCCUGUGUCUGCCAUCCCACUGCAAGAGUGUCCGGGUCCACGUCACUGACUGCACCAUCCCACUGCAAGAGUGUCCUGGUCCACCUCACUGACCUGCUAGGCAUAAAACGGUGAAUGUUUCUGACUGAAAAAGCGAUUCCAAUGUUAAAAAGCGCAUGUGUCAUGGUCUAGCUAAAUUAGACUUGCCUAGUUCCCAUGUGUUUUUAUGUUUUAUAUGUGCAACCUGCUGCUAGUAAAGGUUGCUCUUUCCGUUGCUAUAGGUCAGUUGGAAUUUUAGGCCGGUCAGAAAAUAGGGGCAGUACAUGGUCGGUCUCAGCUCAUCACAUUCUUGUUUUAAUAUUUGUUUUGGUUUUGUUUGGCUGAUGGGAUGUGGAGGUCCACUCUACAUUUGCAUUUCUGCACACGAUCCCGGUAAUCAUCAAGAGAACAAGCCCCAUUUAGAUAUGGAGAGAAGACUAAAUCCCUGAAGUCAAGUGCAUUACUAUCGGUGUUCGUCACACAGAAAGCAUUUGAACUCCUACAAGGGACAACUAUCUUCACCAAAUUGGACCUCCGUAACGCCUACCACCUGGUCCGGGUCAAGGAGGGAGACGAGUGGAAGACGGCCUUCAACACACCUACAGGUCAUUAUGAAUAUUUAGUUAUGCCAUUUGUUGUCC
This is a long non-coding RNA of Gasterosteus aculeatus aculeatus (three-spined stickleback), 1321 nucleotides long. Lineage: Eukaryota; Metazoa; Chordata; Actinopteri; Perciformes; Gasterosteidae. The record is from Ensembl.